AAAAUGUCACACUCACUUCACGGACUCACCUUAUUUCCAUAUCCAACAAUUCAACCCUUCUCUCUCCAUCUCUCCAAUGGCUUCUCACUGCACUCUCUCACUCUCACUCACAUUCCUCUUCACCUUGAUCACCAUCAAUGCUUCUUCACUCUCACCAACAACCACACCCACAACAACAACAGAAGCAGAUGUUUUGUUAACCUUCAAGUCCACCAUUGAUGACCCAAUGAACCACCUUUCAUCAUGGUCCAACACCACCACUAUGCACCACUGCAACUGGUCUGGUGUCACCUGCACAAACACAACCACAAACACUGUUAUCUCAUCUCUCACACUCAAAAACCUUAAUCUUUCUGGUGAAAUCUCACCCUCCAUUUGCCAACUAACUAAUCUUGUUACACUUGAUUUGGCUGAUAACUUGUUUAACCAACCUAUCCCACUUCAUCUUUCUCAAUGUUCAUCUUUAAAGACUCUUAAUUUAAGUAAUAAUCUCAUAUGGGGUACCAUCCCAGAUCAGAUUUCACAGUUUACAUCUUUAAAGUUUCUUGAUUUGAGCAAGAAUCAUGUUGAAGGCAAGAUCCCAGAUGGGGUUGGGUUGUUAAAAGAUCUUCAAGUUUUAAACUUUGGUAACAAUUUGUUAUCAGGUAGUGUCCCUAAUGUUAUUGGGAACUUUACAGAGUUGACUUUUCUUGACUUUUCUUUAAACCCUUUUAUGCAAAGUGAGAUUCCAAGUGGUAUUGGGAAGCUUGUGAAGCUUGAGCAGCUUUUGCUGUCAAGAUCUGGUUUUUAUGGUGAAAUACCAAACUCCAUGGUUGAACUGAAAGCGUUGACCAUCGUUGACCUGUCUCAGAACAAUCUUACAGGUGUUUUACCUUCAAGAAUUGGGGAUUUGUUAAAAAAGUUGGUGUCUUUUGAUGUUUCACAGAAUAAUCUUUUUGGGUCUUUUCCAAAUGGGAUUUGUGAGUCCACUGGGCUUGCUAGUUUAAGCCUUCAUACAAACAGUUUUGAUGGGACAUUAGUCAAUACUUCUGUUGCUAACUGCUUGAAUCUUGAAAGGUUAGAGCUUCAGAACAAUGGGUUUCAUGGUGAUUUCCCAACUAACUUAUGGUCAUUACCGAAAAUCAAAGUUAUUAGAGCCGAAAACAAUCGGUUUUCGGGUGAAAUCCCUGAUUCCAUAUCAGAAUCUUCUCAACUAGAACAGGUUCAAAUAGAUAACAACAGUUUCAUUAGCAAAAUCCCUCAUGGUCUAGGUUUGGUUAGAAGCUUGUAUCGAUUCUCCGCUUCUCUUAACGGUUUAUACGGUGAACUCCCACCGAACUUUUGCGAUUCGCCUGUAAUGAGCAUCAUCAAUUUUUCCCAUAAUUACAUCACAGGUGAAAUCCCAGAGCCAAAAGAGUGUAAAAAGCUAGUUUCUUUAUCUUUAGCAGAUAACAAUUUCAUCGGUGAAAUCCCCGAAUCGUUAGGUGAUUUGCCUGUGUUAACUUACCUUGAUCUUUCACAUAAUAACCUCACUGGUGAAAUCCCACUUGAGCUUCAAAAUUUGAAACUCGCCCUUUUUAAUGUAUCAUUCAAUAGGCUAUCGGGUCGGGUUCCUUCUUUGUUAAUCGCAGGCCUUCCUGCUUUAUACAUACAAGGAAAUCCCGAUCUGUGCGGGCCCGGGUUGUCAAACCCGUGCCCGAACGAUGAUUCGAGACGAAGAACAGGCGUGUCGAAACUUGCUUGUGCGUUGAUCUCUUUAGCUUUAUUAGCUGGGAUACUAAGUUUGGCAUUUGGGUAUUUCGUUUUCCGUAGAUCAUCAAUCCAAAAUGUUGAAACGGGUACUUGGAGAUCCGUUUUCUUUUACCCGAUUCGAAUUAGUGAACAGGAUUUGAUAAUGGCAAUGGAUGAAAAAGCCUCUAGAGGUAGUUCUGGAGUGUUUGGUAGAGUUUACAUAGUAAACUUGCCGAGUAAUGAACUCAUAGCGGUGAAAAAGAUGCCGAAUUUCCGAAACCAAUCUUUCAAAACUUUGAAAACCGAAGUGAAGACGUUGGCGAAAAUCCGACACAAGAACAUAGUUAGAAUCAUGGGGUUUUGCCAUUCGGAUGACUCGAUCUUUUUGAUCUACGAGUGUAUGGAAAAAGGGAGUCUUGGUGAUCUGAUCAGCAAAGGAGAUUUUCAACUGUCAUGGAGUUUUCGCUUGAAAAUCGCCAUUGGGAUCGCGCAAGGACUCGCUUAUCUUCACAAAGAUUAUGUUCCGCAUUUGCUUCAUAGAGAUGUUAAAUCAAAAAAUGUUCUUCUGGACAUAGAGUUUAAUCCAAAGCUUACUGAUUUUGCAUUGGACAGGAUUUUAGGCGAAAACGCGUUCCAAUCAUCCUUGGAUUCAAAAUCCGGAUCUUCGUGUUACAUGGCACCAGGUAUACAUACAUUAUACAACGUAUAACGAGUUUAAUGAAUCUUUACAGUUUUAGUGUUUUUCAUGUGGUGGCGUUGGGGGGCAAAAGUGAAAGUGCAAUAAUUUUAACGUUAUUUUACUAAUUUCGUGAAAAUAACGUUAAAAGCCGAGGACGGUUAAUCAUGCCUCAUGUGGUGGCGUUGAUAGCUGAAAGACAAAAGGGUACAUGCACUAAACGGUCUUUGUCCUGAUUGCUGUUGAGUGUUAUGUGCCUUAUGUCCAAGGCUUGAUGCAAAACUACUAUCGAGCCGGGGGUCUCACUGGAAGCAACCUCUCUAUUCCUACGGGGUAGAGAGUUGGGGUACAACAAAAAGGCGACAGAACAAACGGACACAUACGCGUUUGGAGUGAUCUUAUUAGAACUUGUGACAGGACGAGGAGCCGAGCCAACGGACACAAGUGAAGACUCUCUUGAUGUUGUGAAAUGGGUAAGAAGGAAAGUUAACAUUAGUAAUGGGCCGGUUCAAGUUGUUGACGUGAAAAUCUCAAGUUGUUACAAACAAGAAGCUUUGGGGAUGCUUGAAGUAGCUCUACAAUGCACGUCGGUUAUGCCGGAGAAAAGACCUUCCAUGAGUGAAGUGAUGGCAGCCCUUCAAUGUCUUGGCUCCAAGACUCGUGUUUCUACUUCCUAGUCUUGAUAUGUCGGUUUAAGCGUAUGUAAAUUAUCGAGUUUGCAUCGUUUUGUUUCAUGUUUAUGAUCACACUGUGUGAUAUGUCAAAAGCAUAUAUGAUGUUGGUGUUCACGAAUACUCGAAUGGGAUCACAAGAGAACGAGCCACACAUUUAUAUGUGUAAUGGUUUACAAUAGUUUAGGUUGUUUGGAUGCAAA
Helianthus annuus (common sunflower) is the source of this 3260-nucleotide RNA transcript. It is a transcript of the gene named probably inactive leucine-rich repeat receptor-like protein kinase At5g06940, with no coding region annotated. Lineage: Eukaryota; Viridiplantae; Streptophyta; Magnoliopsida; Asterales; Asteraceae. The transcript is spliced from 2 exons. The record is from RefSeq and is a predicted model, not a curated record.